Molecule: ribosomal RNA, 1053 nt
Filed under: Triticum aestivum (bread wheat)
Lineage: Eukaryota; Viridiplantae; Streptophyta; Magnoliopsida; Poales; Poaceae
Description: partial small subunit ribosomal RNA
Source: RNAcentral
AUGGUCAACACAAGGUCCAUGAGUCUUCGUAACGAGGGAAACAUGGAAGGGACGUUGGCCAUUGGCGAGGACCGCAUCAGCGCCCUUGACGACGAGCUCCUCCAGCAUGUGAUGUCCUUCUUGCUUUCCCGCGACGCCGUGCAGACGUGUGUGCUCGCUAGGCGUUGGAGCACGCUCUGGAAGUCCGUGCGUGCCCUACGCAUCAAGGAUGACCUUGCGACUGACUCCUACAAGUUCGUGGAUGAGCUGCUGCGCCUCCGUGACCCGGCGCCAUUGAACGUGUGUGACAUCUUUGAUGCGUACGAGGAUUCGGAUACAGAGGAUCCGUUAGCUUUUUGCGAGGAGGAAUCCAAUCGCAUUGCGCCGUGGCUCCGAAUGGAUUUGAAAUGGUCCCCUGUGUUUAGCAAACUAAAAACGUUGUUGCUGAAUGAAUGGUGUGUGGCUGGUGAUUUCACUGGAUUGGUGUACUUUCUCCAGCACUCACCAAUUCUAGAGACACUCACGCUACAAUUUGAUAUUCAAACUCAUAAGAAACAACGUGUGAAUGGAACAGAUGAAAGGCUUCCAGAUCAUCUGGUCUACCUCAUCAUUCGUUAUCCGCUCUCUAUGUCCCCGGAUCGCACCUGGAAGUUGCUGCGUUUUGUAUACCAGACCAGGAUCUCGCCUUCCGUGCUCAUGCCCGUGUCCCAUGUUCAUAUGAACUCACAAGUCCAGGCUCGGAAUUGGAUAUUCGAGGCCUGCGCUCUGUAUAACAACUGGUGGCCAAUGUUGACAGUUCUGAUGUACCUCAUACUACCUAUGCCACUCAUAUUUUUCCUGGGCUCCGAUUCUCCAUCGAUCAUGUCGAAUGAGAAUGAUGGGUGGGUGAACUUCACCAAGUUCCUGACGGGCGCGUCGAUCGUGGGCAGCAUCGCCAUCCCGUCGAUCCUGAAGCAUGCCGGCGUCAUCGGGUGGGGCGCGCUGACAAUGGAGCUGUCCUCCUUUGCCGUCUUCGGGCUGGCCAUCGUGUGGUUCCUCCAGAUGAACUCCGAGGACGAGUACAGCGCCUUCUGA